RNAcentral lists this unclassified non-coding RNA (257 nucleotides) under Hevea brasiliensis (rubber tree). The record is from RNAcentral. Lineage: Eukaryota; Viridiplantae; Streptophyta; Magnoliopsida; Malpighiales; Euphorbiaceae.
GGAACAUCGCUCAUGCUCGCCGGGCAAUCGAGGAGGCGGCCGGGAAGGGUGCAAAGCUCGUCCUCUUACCUGAAAUUUGGAAUAGCCCAUAUUCAAAUGAUAGCUUCCCACAGUACGCCGAGGAUAUUGAAGGGGGUGCUGAUUCAGCUCCAUCAUAUUCAAUGCUCUCUGAAGCUGCUCGAAGUUUGCAGAUCACAAUUGUUGGUGGUUCAAUUCCAGAAAGGUCUGGUGAGCAUCUAUACAACACAUGUUGUGUC